Molecule: ribosomal RNA, 583 nt
Filed under: uncultured bacterium
Lineage: Bacteria
Description: bacterial SSU rRNA
Rfam family: Bacterial small subunit ribosomal RNA
Source: RNAcentral
ACGGGUGCGGAACACGUACGCAACCUUCCCAGAACUGGUGAAUAGCCUUUCGAAAGAGAGAUUAAUACACCGUAACUUAAUGAAGUGGCAUCACUUUAUUAAUAUAGUUCCGACGGUUCUGGAUGGGCGUGCGCCUGAUUAGGUAGUUGGCGGGGUAACGGCCCACCAAGCCUACGAUCAGUAACUGGUGUGAGAGCACGACCAGUCACACGGGCACUGAGACACGGGCCCGACUCCUACGGGAGGCAGCAGUAAGGAAUAUUGGUCAAUGGACGCAAGUCUGAACCAGCCAUGCCGCGUGGAGGAUGAAGGUCCUCUGGAUCGUAAACUUCUUUUAUCGGAGAAGAAACCCAGACAUUCUUGUUUGGUUGACGGUACCCGAUGAAUAAGCACCGGCUAACUCCGUGCCAGCAGCCGCGGUAAUACGGAGGGUGCAAGCGUUAUCCGGAUUCACUGGGUUUAAAGGGUGCGUAGGUGGGCUAGUAAGUCCGUGGUGAAAUCUCUGAGCUUAACUCGGAAACUGCCGUGGAUACUAUUAGUCUUGAAUCUCGUGGAGGUAAGCGGAAUAUGUCAUGUAGCGGUG